RNAcentral lists this ribosomal RNA (300 nucleotides) under uncultured Alteromonadaceae bacterium. RNAcentral describes it as "bacterial SSU rRNA". It matches the Rfam family "Bacterial small subunit ribosomal RNA", at positions 115 to 416 of the family's 1533-position model. The record is from RNAcentral. Lineage: Bacteria; Pseudomonadati; Pseudomonadota; Gammaproteobacteria; Alteromonadales; Alteromonadaceae.
GCUUGGGAAUAUGCCUUGAGGUGGGGACGAACAGUUGGAAACGACUGCUAAUACCGCAUACGUCCUAUGGGAGAAAGUAGGGGGAGUCUUCGGACCUCACGCUAUUAGAUGAGCCCGCGUAAGAUUAGCUAGUUGGUGGGGUAAAGGCCUACCAAGGCGACGAUCUUUAGCUGGUCUGAGAGGAUGAUCAGCCACACUGGAACUGAGACACGGUCCAGACUCCUACGGGAGGCAGCAGUGGGGAAUAUUGCACAAUGGGGGAAACCCUGAUGCAGCCAUGCCGCGUGUGUGAAGAAGGCU